CGCGACCUCCUCUCUCUCUCUCCCUCGUGUGAUCCGCUCUCCCACACAGCUAGACGAACGCCUUCAUCUCGAGCGGGUGAGUGGGUGAUCGGAGAGGGCGGCGCUGGCGGUUUCGAUCCGUGAUCUUUCUCGACGCGGAUGGCGGCGUAUCGAUCCGGUUGAAGCGGCUGGCGGCUUCCGGCCCAGGAGGCUUGGGGUGUUCGUGGCGGCUGCUAGGAGGUAGCGAUGGGGUUCGGCGACCGGAUGAGGAAAGGGCGCCGAUCUCGCUCCUCCUGCUCCCAAUCGCUGGCGCGGCCACCCCCCCCCCCCCCCCCCCCCCUUUCUCUAUCAACUGGUGAUGAACAGAUUAAUGUGUCCAUGCAUCUUGUUAGUUAGUAAUAUUAAGAAAAUGAAGGUUGUUGCUGCCGUGAAAAGUUGAUGGAUGAGCUGCAGCGGAUGGUCGAUGAUAUGUGUUUGUAACAUAGCCUUUGCACUCUCCUGGCAUCAAUUCUGUAUGUAACCGUACUAUGUCUGGCAUAAUUGGAGGACGAGGCAAGUCGAUAAGUUGAGAAGGUCAACCGGUUGAAGCGAAUCUCAUUGUAUAACCUGAUAACUCUUUCACUUUGAUUAGUGGAAGCAAGUAAGCUGUUGUUCUACGUACACGGAAUGAAGGGUGAGGUGGACAAGCUCAAGCAGAUCAAUAGGUUUCUAUAUUAUUCCACAUAUAUGGGUUUGUGUGAUGUUAUUUUGGAUUACUAAGAUGUUUCAUCUAUAAUGGAAAUUAUUGGCUAUUAAAAAUUAGUCUUGAUUUACUAUGACAAUAGUUAUUGGUUACAGCCAUUAAAAAGACUGAUUAGUUCUAUCAGGUUAUUUAAACUGCAACAAGGAAUGAACAUUACAGUUCUCUUUGAUUUUUUUUUUAUGUUUCCUCUUUUGUCUGAUCUGAAAUAAUAUGUCAUGUCUAUAUAUUCUACCCUACAUCAUCAGUUCCUUAUACAUUGCUCAUAGGAGAAUAUUGUAAUGGCACUUCAUUAGUUGGUGGUAAUAGACACAACUCCAGUCUUGCCAUGUUAGUACAAUUAAUUUAUUUCAAUUCCAAACAUGUAUCAUUUGUAGAAGAUGUGCCACGAGUUAAUGGACAGCUGGCCUUUGCAAGAGCAUUGGGAGACAUGAGCUGCUACUCGUACACACGUAUUAGCUUUUGCACUGUCUAAAUUAGUUUAAUUUGAAACUUGGAUGAAACAACCAAACAAACUUGAUCUAUCUUGAUCAUGUUAAUUGAGCUAUGCAGGGCACAAUAAACAUUCUGUUUUCUUAUUUCUCUAUUCCUCUUUAUCGCUUUAGUUACACCAGUUUACUUUGUCAUGUAAUUUUUGUUCCAUCAUUAUUGCAAAAUAUAGUUCAAUCUGAUCACAUGGAGGAAAAUGUCUUGAACCAAUUGUUUGGUAUCCACUAAUGUGCAAUUCAGUUGUAAGAAAAUGUCUAAUCUGAAGGUAUGGAUGGAGAGUUUGUUUGGCAUAGAGUACACUGUGAUAUCUUUCUGUCGUGUUUCAUCUGUCGAGCAUGAAUGUAUGCGAAGUUCACUUUUAUGUUGCACCUACUGUUAGAUCUAGAGUAUCACUGGCUGAAUCUUUUGUUUGUGUUUAGUGUUGAAGCACAAAAUAGAAGGGGGUGAACGAGAAGGCAAUGGUUGACGGCAACCAUGGGAGGAGGUCGGGGCAUCGAACAGUAUUGAGUUGGCGAAUCCGGCGAGAUGUGGUUCAAGCAAAUGUUGAUGGUGCGGCAAUGAGAAGACCCUCUCUGUGAGCCAUAUCCCUCUCACUUGGCGUCUCGGUUUUUGUUUCUGGUGCUCCCUGUUUCUCUCCAUUUUGGUGUUCGGUUCGUUGAAAACACCAGCUGCUAAGGUUCUUUAGACCAUUGUGAGAAAGCAUCCAUACUUCCAUAGGAAAAAUCUUGCACUUACCAAAUAGCAGUCUCAAAGUAGAGAGUGCAAGGAAUAUUUGAUCAUUGGCCAGAUGUGGUGAUGUGCAUCUGCUGAAUGAACCGUCCGUCCGGUCACCUCUAUUUUAUUUUGUGCUGAUUAUUGGUGAGUUUCAAACUUCCAAUUUGAUAGAUCCUGCAGAAGAAGAGCAUGGAGAACAUCUCCCUCUUCCUAUAUAUCUCAAAUUGGACUUACAGGUGAUCGAUCCAUGGAGUUGUAGUGUUUGUCAAAUUGCUUGCAAGGGUGAUUAGGAUUUUAUAGGUCACUAUUUGAUUUCUGUCAUAAUAUUUAAACUACUACUGAUCUUCUAAUAUGUUAUUUGUUAUUUCUUUCAGCUAUCAGCUGGUCAGUUUUAAUGUGUUUUCGACAUUACGAGCCUAUCACUUUUGAUGUGUUGGUAUUAGAAUGAAACGGAGUUGCCAUUUAAGUUUGCAUCUACACUCUAAUAUUUAUGCUUUUGAAGUACAUGUCAUUGCACAACUAUUGAUAUAUGAUUCAUAUAGAACUUGAUGAAUUGCAGAGUUAUACUUUCACGAUUUUAUAAGAUACUGAAACCAGUUCGCCUUCUUUUUGAUGAGGAGGUUCUCUUAGAAAAUCGGCACCUGAAGGUCACUAUUUUAAUUCCUAUAAUCAAUGGCUACAAAAUGCUUCUAGCUCUACAAUGAGCGAUCGCGCCAUUUCUGGAAGCGGCAAGGGCGGUGGGUUGUGCCUUUGCCGGUGCAUCGCUUGACGCUCCACCUGGAUGGCGCUGGGCUGGGAGCUGCGGGAAAUACGUGUAUUGAGGACCACGGUGUGCGGGGCAUGUGUCUGAUGCUAGACGUGAUGGUCGGGCACCAGACUGUCAUCGGCAACUACAAACAACAGAACAUGCGAGUCGUCUACAACCUUGACAGAGCCAUGCUAUCCUUUGUGUCGGCGCACUAUAACUGUUCUGAACAAAGGAAGAACUUGUAGUAUUGAUCACGUGAAAUAUGCCAAUGUGGCAGUGGUACUGAAUUGAAGCAACGAUUUCUUUGAAUGAAAUGUGAACUGGAAUGUAGAGCUGACAAAAAGGGUUGCUGGAUGGGCUACUAUAUUGCUCUGUGUUAUUUACA
Triticum aestivum (bread wheat) is the source of this 3054-nucleotide long non-coding RNA. RefSeq lists it as uncharacterized. The transcript has 2 exons. NCBI's taxonomy places the organism in Eukaryota, Viridiplantae, Streptophyta, Magnoliopsida, Poales, Poaceae. The record is from RefSeq and is a predicted model, not a curated record.